Long non-coding RNA from Rhododendron vialii, 1102 nucleotides. RefSeq lists it as uncharacterized. NCBI's taxonomy places the organism in Eukaryota, Viridiplantae, Streptophyta, Magnoliopsida, Ericales, Ericaceae. The transcript has 4 exons. The record is from RefSeq and is a predicted model, not a curated record.
AACAACAAAUGCUAUUAUUGCUGGAUUGAUUGUGAUCGAGGCAAUUAAGGUGCUACAGAAUGAUGCAAACAAUUACAGGAUGACAUAUUGCCUUGAACAUCCCUCAAGGAAGAUGCUUCUUAUGCCAGUUGAGCCGUUUGAGCCAAACAAAUCCUGCUAUGUUUGUUCUGAGGUGCAUUUAUGUUCUCUUUGUUCUUGUGGGUGUUUUUUUUUUUUUUUGUUGUUGGUAGUCCAAAUCUGGGUCCGCUACUUCCUGCUAACCUCAGGCUGUAUGUUUGUGAGCAAACGCCCUUGUUGCUUGAGGUUAACACUUCCCAUUCAAAGUUGAGGGAUUUCAUUGAAAAGAUUGUCAAAGUGAAGCUUGGCAGGAGUUUUCCUUUGGUUAUGCAUGGGUCAGCCCUUCUUUAUGAGGUUUGUGAUGAUCUUGAAGAAGACAUGGUGGCCAACUAUGAAGCAAACCUAGAAAAGGUUCUGUCUGAGUAGCCUUCUCCAGUCUUGGGUGGGACCAUUCUCACAGUUGAGGACCUUCAGCAAGAACUGUCCUGCAAUAUCGAUAUUAAGCACAGAGACAACUUCGACGAGGAGAAAGAACCUGAUGGGAUGGUUCUCUCUGGAUGGACAAAAGAAAAGGAUAAGACCACUUCUACUGAAAAUGGUGCGAGCACAUCAAAUGCAUCUGAGGCAGUUUCUCUGGAGACCAAAGAAGAUAGUGAUAUAGAAAUUGUUCCGACAGGAAUUGAGAGCGUUACUACUCGGAAGAAACGAAAGUUGCCUGAAAUGUCUCAUGCUACCAUUCCUGAUUCUUCUAAAGACGAACUGCACGAAAUUGAUGACAAUGACGAUGGCGAUGAUCUGUUCAUGCUUGAUGAUGGCAAUUCAGAUGGCAGCAAGAAGAAGAGGUUGCAAUAGUGUUGCUGGUUCUAACUUUGAUAUGGGCUUAUCACAUUUUCAUUUUGUACCAUUGUUAGAGGGGAAUGGUGAUUCUUUUUGCAACUUCAGGGGAUCUUCAUGGUUAGGUCUAAACCUUUUCGCUUUGAGUAGAUACAUGUAAUUUUUUGCCCCCUUUAACUUUUGUAAUUCAAACUCUAGGUACAAUUUGUAU